Molecule: ribosomal RNA, 549 nt
Filed under: uncultured bacterium
Lineage: Bacteria
Description: bacterial SSU rRNA
Rfam family: Bacterial small subunit ribosomal RNA
Source: RNAcentral
UGGGGAAUUUUGGACAAUGGACGAAAGUCUGAUCCAGCCAUGCCGCGUGCGGGAAGAAGGCCUUCGGGUUGUAAACCGCUUUUGUCAGGGAAGAAAAGCGCUGGGCUAAUACCCCGGCGUCAUGACGGUACCUGAAGAAUAAGCACCGGCUAACUACGUGCCAGCAGCCGCGGUAAUACGUAGGGUGCAAGCGUUAAUCGGAAUUACUGGGCGUAAAGCGUGCGCAGGCGGCUUUGCAAGACAGAUGUGAAAUCCCCGGGCUCAACCUGGGAACUGCAUUUGUGACUGCAAGGCUAGAGUACGGUAGAGGGGAGUGGAAUUCCGCGUGUAGCAGUGAAAUGCGUAGAUAUGCGGAGGAACACCGAUGGCGAAGGCAGCUCCCUGGACCUGUACUGACGCUCAUGCACGAAAGCGUGGGGAGCAAACAGGAUUAGAUACCCUGGUAGUCCACGCCCUAAACGAUGUCAACUGGUUGUUGGGAGGGUUUCUUCUCAGUAACGUAGCUAACGCGUGAAGUUGACCGCCUGGGGAGUACGGCCGCAAGGUUGA